Molecule: ribosomal RNA, 691 nt
Filed under: uncultured Clostridium sp.
Lineage: Bacteria; Bacillati; Bacillota; Clostridia; Eubacteriales; Clostridiaceae
Description: bacterial SSU rRNA
Rfam family: Bacterial small subunit ribosomal RNA
Source: RNAcentral
GAUGAACGCCGGCGGCGUGCCUAACACAUGCAAGUCGAGCGAGAAAUCUUGGAAUGAGACUUCGGUUAAGUGAAGAGAUGGAAAGCGGCGGACGGGUGAGUAACGCGUAGGCAACCUGCCUUAUGCAGAGGGAUAGCCAUUGGAAACGAUGAUUAAAACCUCAUAAUGCCAUUUUAUCACAUGGUGAGAUGGUCAAAGAUUUAUCGGCAUAAGAUGGGCCUGCGUCUGAUUAGCUAGUUGGUGGGGUAACGGCCUACCAAGACGACGAUCAGUAGCUGACCUGAGAGGGUGAUCGGCCAUAUUGGAACUGAGACACGGUCCAAACUCCUACGGGAGGCAGCAGUGGGGAAUAUUGCACAAUGGGCGAAAGCCUGAUGCAGCAACGCCGCGUGAAGGAAGAAGGUCUUCGGAUCGUAAACUUCUGUCCUUGGGGAAGAUAAUGACGGUACCCUUGGAGGAAGCCCCGGCUAACUACGUGCCAGCAGCCGCGGUAAUACGUAGGGGGCAAGCGUUAUCCGGAAUUAUUGGGCGUAAAGAGUGCGUAGGUGGUUACCUAAGCAGGGGGUGAAAGGCACUGGCUUAACCAAUGUCAGCCCCCUGAACUGGGUACCUUGAGUGCAGGAGAGGAAAGCGGAAUUCCUAGUGUAGCGGUGAAAUGCGUAGAUAUUAGGAGGAACACCAGUGGCGAAGG